Molecule: ribosomal RNA, 468 nt
Filed under: uncultured bacterium
Lineage: Bacteria
Description: partial 16S ribosomal RNA
Rfam family: Bacterial small subunit ribosomal RNA
Source: RNAcentral
GACGAACGCUGGCGGCGUGCUUAACACAUGCAAGUCGAACGGAAAGGCCCUGCUUUUGUGGGGUGCUCGAGUGGCGAACGGGUGAGUAACACGUGAGUAACCUGCCCUUGACUUUGGGAUAACUUCAGGAAACUGGGGCUAAUACCGGAUAGGAGCUCCUGCUGCAUGGUGGGGGUUGGAAAGUUUCGGCGGUUGGGGAUGGACUCGCGGCUUAUCAGCUUGUUGGUGGGGUAGUGGCUUACCAAGGCUUUGACGGGUAGCCGGCCUGAGAGGGUGACCGGCCACAUUGGGACUGAGGUACGGCCCAGACUCCUACGGUAGGCAGCAGUGGGGAAUAUUGCACAAUGGUCGGAAGUGUGAGGCAGCAACGCCGCGUGCGGGAUGACGGCCUUCGGGGUGUAAACCGCGUUCGCCUGUGACGAAGCGUGAGUGACGGUAAUGGGUAAAGAAGCACCGGCUAACUACGUG